RNAcentral lists this long non-coding RNA (215 nucleotides) under Elaeis guineensis (African oil palm). RNAcentral describes it as "long non-coding RNA (EGUI_LNC055503)". Lineage: Eukaryota; Viridiplantae; Streptophyta; Magnoliopsida; Arecales; Arecaceae. The record is from RNAcentral.
ACUUUUAUCUAAUUAUGUCUCUCACUAUUUUAUCGAACUUCAUAGCCCUCAUCUAUGAAAAUCGAGAAACAUACUAAUUUUUUUUAGUGAGGUUGAGAUCCGUAUUUCUUACAAACACUUUGUGGAUAGCACCACAAAUAUUUAUGAGUUCAAGAGUAGGUAACUCUUUACCAAUUAUACCUCUAUAAUUCUCAAUAUAUUUCUUUCUGGCCCCU